GCCAGUGGUUCAUAGACUAAAAGAACAAUGUUCAUUUUACUCAAACAUUUAGCUAUAAAAAGUAAAAUCAGAGAAAUUGGUCAUUUUGCAGUGGUCUCAGGGAUGUAUGUACCAUACUUGUAUAUUUUAUAUAUGUAUAUAGAUAGAGAGAUAAUUUUAUUGAAAAGUUCAUUUAUUUCAAGACUGUAUUCAUUGAAUGAAUCAUAUCGAUUAAUUCCGAACAGGCUGAUGUUUUCAAGUCUUUAUUUAAUCAUGACUUUAUAACAGCUGAUGAUAAAACAAAUUCUAAGAUUAACAUUUUCAAUACAUCAAUUUAGGCUUAAUAAAAGCUUGUUUAAAACCUGCUUAAAGAUUAAUUAAAAAAAUUAAUCACUUCAUCUGGGAAGUGAUUAAGAGUCAUUGUAAUGCACAUUCAAGUUUACUGAAUAUGACCGUCUGACCUGUGCAUGCAUCGGAGACACAUUAGUUUAACUAGAUGUUGUCUUUGAAGUUGGAAUAAAGACUCUCUCUCUGCAGCUCUGUGGAGUCACUGGAAGCCAUUUUGCUGUAAUUUAACAAUAAAAAGCCAAACAUAAGUGAGCAUUAGUUUCAGCUCUCCACCACAGCCCGAAUCUGUUUCCUAAUGUGGAUUUAACGAGACUGAAAGAACUGCAGGACUUGAGGCCCUGUGAGGCAGGAAUGCUCAUUAAACUUCCCAACAUCAAGUCAAAUGCUGGAUAGUAAACUCUGAAAUAACAAGAAAGAGAGUGAAAAUGAGGGGAUAUAAUUAGCUUUUCGAAGGCAUUUUAUGAUUAGCAAUGGGGUAAAAUUCAAAUUAAUGAAGAGAGUAAAGCAUGAAGCUGUGCAGUGUUUGGAUCAAGCUCUCUCAUCAUCACCUUUACUCUGAGUUACUGUUGUAUAGUUUUGUUUUAUUGUUUCCUGGUUGGUGAUAAUAGCUUUAGUUUUCAGACUUUCUCCUCACAUUUCCAAAGACUUAUUUUGUAUCACAGUAUGAAACUCUCACAAGGUUGUUGUUUAAAGGAAGAGAUCAGAAAUUCUUCUUGUCAGCAUAUCACGAACACUGACAUCUGAGACUCCACUGUGAAUUUUUCAUGACUCUGUUUUCGCUUGGUGCGUUGUAAAGUGAAAUGAGCUGCAAAUAUGCCUGGAAACUUGCUGCUGGAGUGAAAAUAAUCAAGAGCUCAAAUAAGAGGUUGCUAUUAUAGGCAUAAAACCUAUUCUCUGACCAUGUUCUCAGGGUUCUGAUCAUUAACUCUCCUGUGUUUGCACUUUCAAUGUUUUGCUAACAGGCCUUAAUCAUAAUGUCCUGCAAUUCAAUAAAAAUAAAGCUUAAACAAACUCAUUACUGGCAGGAAAAUUUCCACUAUUUUGGGGGUGUUUUCAUGAUAAAUUUGAACUGCUCUUUUCGCAGCACACUGAAAAUCCAACAUACAGCAAUUGAGCUCACAGAUUAGGCUAUACUGUUUUUUUUUUCAUCCACAAAGUGUCAAAGUUAUAUGCACAGACAGGCCCAAAUGCACAAUUGAAGCUAAAUAUUUUUAUACAUUGUGAGAAAGCAACUGUUUUCUCCUUACUGUCUGACUUACCAGUACCUAAAUUAUGUGUUUGGUAAAUAUCAGAAUAAUGAGUGGGAAAACAAUUCUCCAUACUAAGAUUAAAAAUAGGUGUUUUUAAAAAAGAUGAUGAUGUCUUGACUUUGCAAACAUCUGAUUUCUUAAGUGCUGUAAUAAGUGACUUUGAGUUCUCACAAACUGGAGGGAAAUAAAAAUGUCUGUGCCACAUCUC
This is a long non-coding RNA of Xiphophorus couchianus (Monterrey platyfish), 1785 nucleotides long. RefSeq lists it as uncharacterized. The record is from RefSeq and is a predicted model, not a curated record. The transcript is spliced from 2 exons. NCBI's taxonomy places the organism in Eukaryota, Metazoa, Chordata, Actinopteri, Cyprinodontiformes, Poeciliidae.